AACGAACGCUGGCGGCAUGCCUAACACAUGCAAGUCGAACGAGACCUUCGGGUCUAGUGGCGCACGGGUGCGUAACGCGUGGGAACCUGCCCUUAGGUUCGGCAUAACUCCCCGAAAGGGGUGCUAAUACCGGAUAAUGUCUUCGGACCAAAGAUUUAUCGCCUUUGGAUGGGCCCGCGUUGGAUUAGCUAGUUGGUAGGGUAAAAGCCUACCAAGGCGACGAUCCAUAGCUGGUCUGAGAGGAUGAUCAGCCACACUGGGACUGAGACACGGCCCAGACUCCUACGGGAGGCAGCAGUGGGGAAUAUUGGACCAUGGGCGAAAGCCUGAUCCAGCAAUGCCGCGUGAGUGAUGAAGGCCUUAGGGUUGCAAAGCUCUUUUACCCGGGAUGAUAAUGACAGUACCGGGAGAAUAAGCCCCGGCUAACUCCGUG
Molecule: ribosomal RNA, 433 nt
Filed under: uncultured bacterium
Lineage: Bacteria
Description: partial 16S ribosomal RNA
Rfam family: Bacterial small subunit ribosomal RNA
Source: RNAcentral